GCUGGCGGCGUGCUUAACACAUGCAAGUCGAACGAUGAAGCCUAGCUUGCUAGGUGGAUUAGUGGCGAACGGGUGAGUAAUACGUGAGUAACCUACCUUUAACUCUGGGAUAAGCCCGGGAAACUGGGUCUAAUACCGGAUACGACCAAUCUCCGCAUGGGGUGUUGGUGGAAAGCGUUAUGUAGUGGUUAUAGAUGGGCUCACGGCCUAUCAGCUUGUUGGUGAGGUAACGGCUCACCAAGGCGACGACGGGUAGCCGGCCUGAGAGGGUGACCGGCCACACUGGGACUGAGACACGGCCCAGACUCCUACGGGAGGCAGCAGUGGGGAAUAUUGCACAAUGGGCGCAAGCCUGAUGCAGCGACGCCGCGUGAGGGAUGACGGCCUUCGGGUUGUAAACCUCUGUUAGCAGGGAAGAAGAGAGAUUGACGGUACCUGCAGAGAAAGCGCCGGCUAACUACGUGCCAGCAGCCGCGGUAAUACGUAGGGCGCGAGCGUUGUCCGGAAUUAUUGGGCGUAAAGAGCUUGUAAGCGGUUUGUCGCGUCUGCUGUGAAAGGCCGGGGCUUAACUCCGUGUAUUGCAGUGGGUACGGGCAGACUAGAGUGCAGUAGGGGAGACUGGAAUUUCCUGGUGUAGCGGUGGAAUGCGCAGAUAUCAGGAGGAACACCGAUGGCGAAGGCAGGUCUCUGGGCUGUAACUGACGCUGAGAAGCGAAAGCAUGGGGAGCGAACAGGAUUAGAUACCCUGGUAGUCCAUGCCGUAAACGUUGGGCACUAGGUGUGGGGGACAUUCCACGUUUUCCGCGCCGUAGCUAACGCAUUAAGUGCCCCGCCUGGGGAGUACGGCCGCAAGGCUAAAACUCAAAGAAAUUGACGGGGGCCCGCACAAGCGGCGGAGCAUGCGGAUUAAUUCGAUGCAACGCGAAGAACCUUACCAAGGCUUGACAUAUACUGGACCGCAUCAGAGAUGGUGUUUCCCUUCGGGGCUGGUAUACAGGUGGUGCAUGGUUGUCGUCAGCUCGUGUCGUGAGAUGUUGGGUUAAGUCCCGCAACGAGCGCAACCCUCGUUCUAUGUUGCCAGCACGUUAUGGUGGGGACUCAUAGGUGACUGCCGGGGUCAACUCGGAGGAAGGUGGGGAUGACGUCAAAUCAUCAUGCCCCUUAUGUCUUGGGCUUCACGCAUGCUACAAUGGCCGGUACAGAGGGUUGCGAUACUGUGAGGUGGAGCUAACCCCUAAAAGCCGGUCUCAGUUCGGAUUGGGGUCUGCAACUCGACCCCAUGAAGUCGGAGUCGCUAGUAAUCGCAGAUCAGCAACGCUGCGGUGAAUACGUUCCCGGGCCUUGUACACACCGCCCGUCAAGUCACGAAAGUUGGUAACACCCAAAGCCGGUGGCCUAACCUUUUUGGAGGGAGCCGUCUAAGGUGGGAUUGGCAAU
This 1437-nucleotide ribosomal RNA is filed under the name uncultured organism. Its description in RNAcentral is "SSU rRNA". It matches the Rfam family "Bacterial small subunit ribosomal RNA". The record is from RNAcentral.